Molecule: ribosomal RNA, 996 nt
Filed under: uncultured organism
Description: bacterial SSU rRNA
Rfam family: Bacterial small subunit ribosomal RNA
Source: RNAcentral
GGGGGAUAUUGCACAAUGGGGGAAACCCUGAUGCAGCGACGCCGCGUGGAGGAAGAAGGUUUUCGGAUUGUAAACUCCUGUCGUUAGGGACGAUAAUGACGGUACCUAACAAGAAAGCACCGGCUAACUACGUGCCAGCAGCCGCGGUAAAACGUAGGGUGCAAGCGUUGUCCGGAAUUACUGGGUGUAAAGGGAGCGCAGGCGGACCGGCAAGUUGGAAGUGAAAACUAUGGGCUCAACCCAUAAAUUGCUUUCAAAACUGCUGGCCUUGAGUAGUGCAGAGGUAGGUGGAAUUCCCGGUGUAGCGGUGGAAUGCGUAGAUAUCGGGAGGAACACCAGUGGCGAAGGCGACCUACUGGGCACCAACUGACGCUGAGGCUCGAAAGCAUGGGUAGCAAACAGGAUUAGAUACCCUGGUAGUCCAUGCCGUAAACGAUGAUUACUAGGUGUUGGAGGAUUGACCCCUUCAGUGCCGCAGUUAACACAAUAAGUAAUCCACCUGGGGAGUACGACCGCAAGGUUGAAACUCAAAGGAAUUGACGGGGGCCCGCACAAGCAGUGGAGUAUGUGGUUUAAUUCGAAGCAACGCGAAGAACCUUACCAGGUCUUGACAUCCGAUGCAUAGCUUAGAGAUAAGUGAAGUCCUUCGGGACAUCGAGACAGGUGGUGCAUGGUUGUCGUCAGCUCGUGUCGUGAGAUGUUGGGUUAAGUCCCGCAACGAGCGCAACCCUUAUUGCCAGUUACUACGAAAGAGGACUCUGGCGAGACUGCCGUUGACAAAACGGAGGAAGGUGGGGAUGACGUCAAAUCAUCAUGCCCUUUAUGACUUGGGCUACACACGUACUACAAUGGCGUUAAACAAAGAGAAGCAAGACCGCGAGGUGGAGCAAAACUCAGAAACAACGUCCCAGUUCGGACUGCAGGCUGCAACUCGCCUGCACGAAGUCGGAAUUGCUAGUAAUCGUGGAUCAGCAUGCCACGGUGAAUACGUUCCCG